AGCGAACGCUGGCGGCAAGCUUAACACAUGCAAGUCGAACGCCCCGCAAGGGGAGUGGCGGACGGGUGUAUAACACGUGGGAAUCUACCUUUCAGUGCAGGAUAACUCAGGGAAACUUGAGCUAAUACUGCAUAAUGUCUCCGGACCAAAGAUUUAUGCGCUGAAAGAUGAGCCCGCGGCUGAUUAGCCAGUUGGUAGGGUAAUGGCCUACCAAGGCGACGAUCAGUAGCUGGUCUGAGAGGAUGAUCAGCCACACUGGGACAGAGACACGGCCGAGACUCCUAGGGGAGGCAGCGGUGGGAAAUAUUGGACAAUGGGGGAACCCCUGAUCAGGCUAUGCCGGGUGAGUGAUGAAGGCCUUCGGGUUGUAAAUCUCUUUAGUCGGGGACGAUAAUGACGGUACCCGAAGAAUAAGCUCCGGAAAACUUCGUGCCAGCAGCCGCGGUAA
RNAcentral lists this ribosomal RNA (448 nucleotides) under uncultured bacterium. Its description in RNAcentral is "partial 16S ribosomal RNA". It matches the Rfam family "Bacterial small subunit ribosomal RNA", at positions 29 to 523 of the family's 1533-position model. The record is from RNAcentral.